RNAcentral lists this ribosomal RNA (253 nucleotides) under uncultured bacterium. RNAcentral describes it as "partial 16S ribosomal RNA". It matches the Rfam family "Bacterial small subunit ribosomal RNA", at positions 524 to 776 of the family's 1533-position model. The record is from RNAcentral.
UACGAAGGGGGCUAGCGUUGUUCGGAAUCACUGGGCGUAAAGGGCGCGUAGGCGGCUUUAUAAGUCGGGGGUGAAAGCCUGUGGCUCAACCACAGAAUUGCCUUCGAUACUGAAGAUCUUGAGUUCGGGAGAGGUGAGUGGAACUGCGAGUGUAGAGGUGAAAUUCGUAGAUAUUCGCAAGAACACCAGUGGCGAAGGCGGCUCACUGGCCCGAUACUGACGCUGAGGCACGAAAGCGUGGGGAGCAAACAGG